Argiope bruennichi is the source of this 292-nucleotide long non-coding RNA. RefSeq lists it as uncharacterized. Lineage: Eukaryota; Metazoa; Arthropoda; Arachnida; Araneae; Araneidae. The transcript is spliced from 3 exons. The record is from RefSeq and is a predicted model, not a curated record.
AAGAUGUUAUAGAUGGAUGUUAAUCUUAGGCAUAUGAAAAAGCCGUUAAGAAAAAGGAAACCAAAAUGUUCUAUUUAGGAAUUUCUCUAAUAAAGAAAAUUUCGAAAAAAUGAAUUUUAGACAUACAUUUCGUUUUUGCUUAAAGAGUAUAAAACUUUCUUUCUGGAAUUGAAUCACUCAGUUGCAGCUGUCUUGAAUUUGCAUUUGCUGAAAUUUAAGAACAAUGAACCUUUCCUCCGCAACUUUCAUAUGUAAAGCUUUAAUCUGUAUUUAACAAAAAAUUUUAAUUGAA